RNAcentral lists this ribosomal RNA (797 nucleotides) under uncultured Bacillota bacterium. Its description in RNAcentral is "bacterial SSU rRNA". It matches the Rfam family "Bacterial small subunit ribosomal RNA", at positions 28 to 796 of the family's 1533-position model. Lineage: Bacteria; Bacillati; Bacillota. The record is from RNAcentral.
GACGAACGCUGGCGGCGUGCUUAACACAUGCAAGUCGAACGGGCCUUUAUGAAUAGCUUGCUAUAAGUAAAGGCUAGUGGCGGACGGGUGAGUAACGCGUGGGCAAUCUACCCUAUUGACCGGGAUAACACCGGGAAACCGCUGUUAAUACCGGAUAAGCUUGACCCAAGGCAUAUUGGGGCAAGGAAAAGGAGGCCUCUGGAAUAAGCUACCGCAAUAGGAUGAGCCCGCGUCCCAUUCGCUAGUUGGUGGGGUAACGGCCUACCAAGGCGACGAUGGGUAGCCGGCCUGAGAGGGUGACCGUCCACACUGGGACUGAGACACGGCCCAGAUUCGUACGUGAGGCAGCAGUGGGGAAUAUUGAGCAAUGGGGGGAACCCUGACGCAGCAACGCCGCGUGAGUGAAGACGGCCUUCGGGUUGUAAAGCUCUGUCAAGAGGGACGAAGUGUAUGCUGCGAAAAGCGGUAUAGGUGACGGUACCAAAGAGGAAGCCCCGGCUAACUACGUGCCAGCAGCCGCGGUAAUACGUAGGGGGCGAGCGUUGUCCGGAUUUUCUGGGUGUAAAGGGCGUGUAGGCGGUUAAUUAAGUCAGGUGUGAAAACUCUGGGCUCACCCGAGAGGUUGCAUUUGAAACUGGUUAACUUGAGGGUAGGAGAGGGAAGUGGAAUUCCUAGUGUAGCGGUGAAACCGUAGAUACUCGGAGGAACACCAAUGGCGAAGGCGACUUUCUGGCCUAACCGAGACGCUGAGGCGCGAAAGCGUGGGGAGCAAACAGGAUUAGAUACAUCAGUAGUCA